Molecule: ribosomal RNA, 464 nt
Filed under: uncultured Comamonadaceae bacterium
Lineage: Bacteria; Pseudomonadati; Pseudomonadota; Betaproteobacteria; Burkholderiales; Comamonadaceae
Description: partial 16S ribosomal RNA
Rfam family: Bacterial small subunit ribosomal RNA
Source: RNAcentral
CCUACGGGAGGCAGCAGUGGGGAAUUUUGGACAAUGGGCGAAAGCCUGAUCCAGCAAUGCCGCGUGCAGGAUGAAGGCCUUCGGGUUGUAAACUGCUUUUGUACGGAACGAAAAAGCUUCUCCUAAUACGAGAGGCCCAUGACGGUACCGUAAGAAUAAGCACCGGCUAACUACGUGCCAGCAGCCGCGGUAAUACGUAGGGUGCGAGCGUUAAUCGGAAUUACUGGGCGUAAAGCGUGCGCAGGCGGUUAUGUAAGACAGAGGUGAAAUCCCCGGGCUCAGCCUGGUAACUGCAUUUGUGACUGCAGGGCUAGAGUACGGUAGAGGGGGAUGGAAUUCCGCGUGUAGCAGUGAAAUGCGUAGAUAUGCGGAGGAACACCGAUGGCGAAGGCAAUCCCCUGGACCUGUACUGACGCUCAUGCACGAAAGCGUGGGGAGCAAACAGGAUUAGAUCCCCUUGUAGU